GUCAGGUUGGCCGAGCGCUCUAAGACGCCAGACUUAAGUUUUGGUUCUCGAAAGAGAGCGUGGGUUCGAACCCCACACCUGACA
Molecule: transfer RNA, 84 nt
Filed under: Blattella germanica (German cockroach)
Lineage: Eukaryota; Metazoa; Arthropoda; Insecta; Blattodea; Blattellidae
Description: tRNA-Leu (TAA) (tRNA-Leu-TAA-28-1)
Rfam family: tRNA
About the family: Transfer RNA (tRNA) molecules are approximately 80 nucleotides in length. Their secondary structure includes four short double-helical elements and three loops (D, anti-codon, and T loops). Further hydrogen bonds mediate the characteristic L-shaped molecular structure. tRNAs have two regions of fundamental functional importance: the anti-codon, which is responsible for specific mRNA codon recognition, and the 3' end, to which the tRNAs corresponding amino acid is attached (by aminoacyl-tRNA synthetases). tRNAs cope with the degeneracy of the genetic code in two manners: having more than one tRNA (with a specific anti-codon) for a particular amino acid; and 'wobble' base-pairing, i.e. permitting non-standard base-pairing at the 3rd anti-codon position.
Source: RNAcentral